GCUCCAAUAGCGUAUAUUAAAAUUGUUGCGGUUAAAAAGCUCGUAGUCUAAGUUCAAUCGGUUAUAUUUUUGUUGCAAUUGUAACUUGUAAUAUACCGUGAUCCUUUUUGGAUCUUCAUUACUUUGAAGAAAUCAGAGUGUUUCAAGCAAGCUUGCUUUGAAUACUAAAGCAUGGAAUAAUGAUAUAAGACAUUAGUAUU
This 200-nucleotide ribosomal RNA is filed under the name uncultured eukaryote. RNAcentral's name for it is "partial 18S ribosomal RNA". It matches the Rfam family "Eukaryotic small subunit ribosomal RNA", at positions 588 to 837 of the family's 1831-position model. The record is from RNAcentral.